This 542-nucleotide unclassified non-coding RNA is filed under the name Thelephoraceae sp. 5 CG-2012. Its description in RNAcentral is "sequence contains ITS1, 5.8S rRNA gene, ITS2". The stretch from base 181 to 335 matches the Rfam family "5.8S ribosomal RNA". Lineage: Eukaryota; Fungi; Basidiomycota; Agaricomycetes; Thelephorales; Thelephoraceae. The record is from RNAcentral.
UACUGAGUCGUCGACACGAGUUGUUGCUGGUCCUCAAACGGGGGACAUGUGCACGCUCUGUUUACACAUCCACUCACACCUGUGCACCCUCUGUAGUUCCCUUCUGUGGUUCUGCAUCUUUACACACACACCGUAAAAAAGUCUUAUGGAAUGUACGUCGCGUUUGACGCAAUAUAAUACAACUUUCAGCAACGGAUCUCUUGGCUCUCGCAUCGAUGAAGAACGCAGCGAAAUGCGAUAAGUAAUGUGAAUUGCAGAAUUCAGUGAAUCAUCGAAUCUUUGAACGCACCUUGCGCCCCUUGGCUAUUCCGAAGGGCAUGCCUGUUUGAGUAUCAUGAACACCUCAACUCCCGUGGUUCGCCACGGUGAGCUUGGACUCUGGGGGUUUUGCUGGCCUGUGGUCGGCUCCUCUCAAAUGAAUUAGCCUGCCAGUGUUUGGUGGCGUCACGGGUGUGAUAAAUAUCUACGCUUGCGAUUGCCCACCAGGUAACCUUCAGCAAUGGGGGUUCGCUGGGGCUCAUAGACGUCUCUUUCAACGUUCG